GAGUUUCUGAUUCAAUAGGUCUGGAUUCAGUCUGAGACUCUGUAUGUCUAACCCAUUCCCAGGUUAUGCUAAUUGUACCGGUUCAGGGACCACAGUUUGAGAAAUACUCUUAAGAACCUCAAAGGUAUAAAACCAAACCUGGGCCUCUGCACUUUUCCUCCUCGCGCAGAUCACAUCUCUGGGUAUCAACUGCUUUGUGAGGAUGUGCACUAGAGGAAUCCGCCUAUCAGCACGUAGUUUAGGGUGCAGCCAAGUUUCAGAAAAACCGAUAGUGAGGAAAGUCCAGCAGUGCCCAUGCCUAGUGGUGGUGAGCAGCCACCUGCAUAUUAUAGAUCUCAAGGACAUAAAGAUGGUCAAUCUUAGGUCUUCAAACAUGGUCCAGACCUUUGGAUUGUGUUCCAUAUGCAAGGAUGAUACAGUAGUCCCUGUCAAAGCGUCCAUUGUUUGCAGACUGGAGAACCGCUGUAUGAAGAUGAAAGCAGCAUGUUUGAAAUGAGGCGAUCCGCUUCAGUGUCUCCUGGAAAGCCUCCAUGUAUUUUUGGAAUGUGGACACUCAUGUGAUAAACUACUUUUUGUGUUAAUUCCCAGAAUUCGUAUCCCCUAUUUUUCCACUGAAAUGUCAUCAUUUUGUGAUUUUGUAGAAAGUAUGAAAUAACUUUUUUUCUCAGAUAAACGAUAUAAAGUUAAGUAAAAAGUGACACAUUUUUAAUGGUAUAUCACAAAGUCAGUACCUCAUGAAACAUAUUUGGAGUUUUGACCUUCUCUUCCAACCCAUAAAUUACAACUUCAUGAAAUUUAUUUAUAAUAAUCAUUAUAAACAUAACAUUUUCUCUAAAACCUUCAAACUCGAUAAUUACUAUUCAAACUAAAAAUCAUAAAAUGAGAUAAAUUAUUAAGUAUCUUACUGAUUUGUGAAAAGUUACAGUUUCAUAUUUGGAAAUGUAAAAACAAAUCAGUUAGGUCGAGAAUAAACUGAAAACACCCAGAAGGAUUUGGUAAAUAAUUAUCAACGAAAAAUCCUAGAAUAAAAGUCUUUCAAAAUUGUUGUAUUUUUUCUGUGUAAAAUU
This 1067-nucleotide long non-coding RNA is filed under the name Equus caballus (horse). Its description in RNAcentral is "lncRNA (ENSECAG00000051776.1)". The record is from RNAcentral. Lineage: Eukaryota; Metazoa; Chordata; Mammalia; Perissodactyla; Equidae.